Molecule: ribosomal RNA, 561 nt
Filed under: uncultured bacterium
Lineage: Bacteria
Description: bacterial SSU rRNA
Rfam family: Bacterial small subunit ribosomal RNA
Source: RNAcentral
GCAAGUCGAGCGGAAACGAAGAGGUGCUCGCACCUCUGGCGUCGAGCGGCGGACGGGUGAGUAAUGCUUGGGAAUAUGCCUUAUGGUGGGGGACAACAGUUGGAAACGACUGCUAAUACCGCAUGAUGUCAACGGACCAAAGUGGGGGACCUUCGGGCCUCACGCCAUAAGAUUAGCCCAAGUGGGAUUAGCUAGUUGGUGAGGUAAUGGCUCACCAAGGCGACGAUCCCUAGCUGGUUUGAGAGGAUGAUCAGCCACACUGGGACUGAGACACGGCCCAGACUCCUACGGGAGGCAGCAGUGGGGAAUAUUGCACAAUGGGCGCAAGCCUGAUGCAGCCAUGCCGCGUGUGUGAAGAAGGCCUUCGGGUUGUAAAGCACUUUCAGUAAGGAGGAAAGGUUAAGUGUUAAUAGCACUUAGCUGUGACGUUACUUACAGAAGAAGCACCGGCUAACUCCGUGCUAGCAGCCGCGGUAAUACGGAGGGUGCGAGCGUUAAUCGGAAUUACUGGGCGUAAAGCGUACGCAGGCGGCUUGUUAAGCGAGAUGUGAAAGCCCCGGG